Molecule: ribosomal RNA, 468 nt
Filed under: uncultured bacterium
Lineage: Bacteria
Description: partial 16S ribosomal RNA
Rfam family: Bacterial small subunit ribosomal RNA
Source: RNAcentral
GACGAACGCUGGCGGCGUGCUUAACACAUGCAAGUCGAACGGAAAGGCCCUGCUUUUGUGGGGUGCUCGAGUGGCGAACGGGUGAGUAACACGUGAGUAACCUGCCCUUGACUUUGGGAUAACUUCAGGAAACUGGGGCUAAUACCGGAUAUGAGCUCCUGCUGCAUGGUGGGGGUUGGAAAGUUUCGGCGGUUGGGGAUGGACUCGCGGCUUAUCAGCUUGUUGGUGAGGUAGUGGCUUACCAAGGCUUUGACGGGUAGCCGGCCUGAGAGGGUGACCGGCCACAUUGGGACUGAGAUACGGCCCAGACUCCUACGGGAGGCAGCAGUGGGGAAUAUUGCACAAUGGGCGGACGCCUGAUGCAGCAAUGCCGCGUGCGGGAUGACGGCCUUCGGGUUGUAAACCGCUUUCGCCUGUGACGAAGCGUGAGUGACGGUAAUGGGUAAAGAAGCACCGGCUAACUACGUG